Agrilus planipennis (emerald ash borer) is the source of this 383-nucleotide long non-coding RNA. RefSeq lists it as uncharacterized. The record is from RefSeq and is a predicted model, not a curated record. The transcript has 3 exons. Lineage: Eukaryota; Metazoa; Arthropoda; Insecta; Coleoptera; Buprestidae.
UCAGUUACUUGAAUGUAAUGCGUGUGAUUGCAGCUAGAAGAUGAAAUAGAAAUUAAUGGCUUAGCAAAUCCAAUUCUUCUCAAUACCCGUGAAAGAACUUUCGCCUUAGGAACUAGAGGAAUUCUGGUUGGAUGGGGAUACAACAAGACAAACGGCACCGUCCCUGACACUCUGCAGUACACUGCAAUCGAAGUAUUCGACAGCAGUUACUGUAUUAACUCGUACAACAGCAGCGUCUUAAAUCCUGCAGUUCACAUAUGCGCAGGAUUGGUUCACGGGGGUAAAGGUCAAUGUUCGGGCGACUCCGGAGGUCCACUAGUCGUAAACGGGCACCAAGUGGGAAUUGUUUCGUGGUCCGAUAAACCCUGCGCUUCUCCUGGAAA